CCUUCAAUGGUGGAGUUCCAUCCACAGUGAGUUAAAAAUCCAGCAAUGGCGGGAUGUGACAAUAUCAACACUUGUGGAGCCCAACCCUUUAUUAGAAGUCCUCGUCCUUUGAUCCUCUCUUCAAACCCAUCUUCUAUAAUCCAUUUUUCCAGUUCGUUUAAUCUCUUCCAGUUUCUUAUUACCCAGAUGAAUGGCCUGUUUGAUGCCUCUAAGGCUAAUCCCAGUUCAAUCAUUUGCGCAGGUGGGGCAUUGCUGAUGCUUCCGAGACAAGCGUAGAUUACAGAGCUUGGUUCCUGACAAUCAAGCCAGUUAAGAAAUUGAUGUUCAUCCAUGGCGGCUUUCUUACCUCUCUGAAUCUUAUCCAACCCAGUCUUGUUGCAGAGCCAAAGAGGUCCAAUACACCACGCUUUGCGGCCUCCUCCCACCUUUCUGUAUUCUCUGAUGUAUUCUGCUUCCAUUUCUUCAAAAGUAUUAAUCACCACCCCGUAGGAAUCUUUAUCUGCAUCGCCCAUUUUCUUGUGCAUCUCUUUCCAGGUGUCUUUACUGAGUACUGGCAGCUGGGCUUUCGUGAAUUCAACUUUAUCAGGCAAGUUUGGCAAAACAAAGUACUCUGAAUCCGACGUUACCGUGUCAAGAAUCUUGGACGAAUAUAAACGUUCCAAACACAAAAGACUGAAACAGCU
RNAcentral lists this long non-coding RNA (683 nucleotides) under Carica papaya (papaya). RNAcentral's name for it is "long non-coding RNA (CPAP_LNC012321)". The record is from RNAcentral. Lineage: Eukaryota; Viridiplantae; Streptophyta; Magnoliopsida; Brassicales; Caricaceae.